Symphalangus syndactylus (siamang) is the source of this 1625-nucleotide long non-coding RNA. RefSeq lists it as uncharacterized. The record is from RefSeq and is a predicted model, not a curated record. Lineage: Eukaryota; Metazoa; Chordata; Mammalia; Primates; Hylobatidae.
CAAUUAAAGGUGAGGUUCGGGUAAGGACACAGCCAAACCACAUCAACUAGUAAUUGGAUUUAGAACCACCCUAAUCUAGUAUAACCUCACCUUAGCUGAUUACGUCGGCGAAUACUUAUUUCCAAAUAACCACAUUCUGGCAUGCAUUUGGGGACAGAAACAGUUGGAUGAGUGGCCCUAUUCAACCUACUACACUAGCCAAAGAGUGAAUGUACCACUUCACAUUCCCAUCAGCAGUGUAUGAGUGAUCCAGUGCCUUCAGGUCAUCACCAGUGCUUUCAGGUCAUCACCAGGCCUCACUGAAGACAACUGGAGCUAGAAUCAGAGAGAUUUCCAGCAAUUCUUGAAACAAAGCAAAGUAAGAAAGCUCAAAGCUUUUGCAGAAAUUGUGACAUUUGCCUCAAGUUAAUGACCCCACUCCCUAUGUAGCUAUAAAUGAUAACAACAAUAACAAAAAGAGCGUAGCUAUUACAGUGACAUCCCUUUUCUUGAGAAAAAUAUUGCAAUUUAAAAUAAACUUUUAUUUCAGAGUUCAUCCACCGCCCUACCCCCAGCUUUCACACACACACACACACACACACACAAAUGUAAGCUUCAGAGAUAUUCACUCAAACUGAAAUAGCCAUCCAUGGAUUUUGGUCGUCUUUGUGUUAUAUCCUAAGAUAGUUUUUACCUUUCUUCCUGUGUGAUUUAGAUGCAGGUUAACAACAAAAACAAUGAAAAAUUUUAAAAAUCAACAGCUUGAAGAGUGCUAAUUACAACCAAUUAUAAUUUCAUUGUCCUGCCAUGGUUCACUAUGUCCUGGUUAAAAAAAUAAUAAUAAUUUUGCUUUCUAUACAUGUCUGGCUUUAUGCACAAGCCUGAUUGGAGAAGCUUAAUAUUCAACACAUGUGCAUAAAGUAAUCCUUUAGACUAGCAGUCUAAAGGUAGCAAUAACCUAUACAAUUCCUUGUGUUAAUUUCUAAUUAAUAUGAUUAAAUAAAUACCAUCAGACUUCAAAAGGACCAUUUACUUUAUGGAACCAGUGUUUAUUUAACUGGUAUGUGAAAUUGGUUUUCAUGUCAAUAAAGAUAUUAAAGUUUCUAUAUCGUGUAUUCAUCAUGAAAUCAUAGAAAUGACUAUACUAACAACAAAGAAGAAAGUUCCCUCAAAUCAAUUUGGUUCUUGAGGAAAGCAAUUCAAUUUUAAUGUAACCUACACUAGUUAACAAAAGAUAUUUCGUGAGCUUUGGUUAGAAAUGUAACACAGUAACCUAGAAUUACCUUACAUCUAAGUUUAGCAACUACCAUUUUCAAACUGUCUGUACCUAGCUUAAAAAGUUGUCUACUCCCAUCUAGCGGUCAUAACGUUAAAUUUCCUUUCAAAACUUAGCAGCCUGAAUGGUCUACAUUAAGGCAAAUGUAACUGCUGUUUUAUUGUCAGAAUUAAAUAAUUAAUGCAGUUAACAACAUCUGCAUAGAUUAAGUAAUUCAGCCUCAUGGGUUUUGUUGAUAGCAGUAAUUUUAAAGGCAGCAUAAAAUGGUUUUAGUCUGAUUUAUGGAGCGUAGCUCAUGCUGCCAGAGCCGCAUGGAGCUCAUUGACUGAAAAACUCCGAGGAUCACUCAGGAGGAUUGCCACAGUUCUAU